Molecule: non-coding RNA, 72 nt
Organism: Bos taurus (domestic cattle)
Lineage: Eukaryota; Metazoa; Chordata; Mammalia; Artiodactyla; Bovidae
Source: Rfam
UCCCUGAUAGCUCAGUUGGUAAAGAAUCUGCCUGCAAUACAGGAGAUCCCGGUUCGAUUCCUGGGUUGGGAA